AUCAUUACUCACCUAAGUUCUCCGUUGUGAACCUAGGAAACGCCUUAUUUCCAGAAUAUCAGAGUAAGUUCUACAGAUGGCUUUCCAGGGGGGAAUUUGGGUUGUAUGAGUGCUGUUAUCCAGCCCACCUCAGUUGGUGUCCAUUAGUCGGUGGUAGUCGGCACCACAUGGUGUGUUGCACAGGGAUGCAAACUCGAUGCCUUGCCCUAAUGGCACAUCACUAAUGUCAGGCCACAGCUGGAGCAACUGUCUCUGGGAUUGUAUGAUACACUCCUUGAGAAUGACUCUUGAGGAGCUUCUUGGAAGAAUUUGAUGUCCAAUCUUAAUAUUCUGAGAGUUCCAUGCUAGUAUUGUGACUAAUUAUACCUUAUACCACUUGCGUGCCACUUGAUAGUUUUCACAGGACUUUAUGUGUUUUUGUCUUCUUUGAUCUUCACAGCCAUCCUGGGAGGCCAGCCAUUCAGAUAUUAUUUCCCUGUUUUACUCACGAGAAAGUCAAGGCUUGAAUGGGUUAUGACUUGCCUAAAGUUACAAAGUGAGGAAGUGCCAGUCCCAACACCAGAUGGCUCCCACAGGCCCCAUCCAGAGCAUUUCUAUUUGAUUGUAUGCUGCCUAACUCCCCACCGAGGACAUAGUAACAGAUGGCCCU
Molecule: long non-coding RNA, 649 nt
Filed under: Homo sapiens (human)
Lineage: Eukaryota; Metazoa; Chordata; Mammalia; Primates; Hominidae
Description: HSALNT0063233
Source: RNAcentral